This 253-nucleotide ribosomal RNA is filed under the name uncultured bacterium. RNAcentral describes it as "partial 16S ribosomal RNA". It matches the Rfam family "Bacterial small subunit ribosomal RNA", at positions 524 to 776 of the family's 1533-position model. The record is from RNAcentral.
UACGGAGGGUGCAAGCAUUGAUCGGAAUUACUGGGCGUAAAGGGCGCGUAGGCGGCGAUGGAAGUCAGAUGUGAAAUUCCGGGGCUCAACCCCGGAGCUGCAUUUGAGACUCCAUUGCUAGAGGGCAGAGAGGGUAAACGGAAUUCCACGUGUAGCGGUGAAAUGCGUAGAUAUGUGGAAGAACACCGGUGGUGAAGACGGUUUACUGAGCUGUUACUGACGCUGAGGCGCGAAAGCAUGGGGAGCAAACAGG